Non-coding RNA from Cinara cedri, 5213 nucleotides. The record is from the annotation of a GenBank genome assembly. NCBI's taxonomy places the organism in Eukaryota, Metazoa, Arthropoda, Insecta, Hemiptera, Aphididae.
GGACCGAAACAAUUUCGGGCGACGGAUAGAGAGAUAUGGCCGGGGGAUGAUCGCACGGUCGUGCGAGAUGACGGGACGAUCAUGCCGAGGGCGAAUAAACCCGAACAAAAAAUAUUAUGGACAACCGUAAUAAUGUCUGGUCGAUAUUUCGACACCGUUGUUCGUUUGACGCUCCCCGCGACAAUGCCAAAAGGCGCGCGCCCGCGCGGCGACAGUAAUUUGUCCCCGGCGAAACGGUAUGAAAUCCACCGUGCACGUGUUGCAAAAUAUUAUUAUCGUUUUUCACGGGCGGGGGGCGACGCAAAGUAGCGUAAUAUUAAAACGCGAAAAAAAAUAAAAUAAAAAAAAAACGCGACCGCGCCGCACGAAAAAUCCAUACGGCGUAAUAUUUGCGGGUUCAAUUACGUCCGUUUAAUCCCAUCAGCGUACACCCCGCGCAGACGACGUCCGACGGCGGCAUCGCGUUGUUGUUGACCGUUUCCGUAUAAUAUCACGUCGCGGUGACGCGUUUUUUCGCGCGCGACCGACCGAAUAACCACGUCCGCGUUCGAAAACAAAAAAAACAUUUUAACCCUCGUCGUAUUGUCUCCGGACUCGAAACGCCGCGGUAUUGUUUUCGUCGAGAACAUAAAAAAAAAAAAAAAUUAAAAAUAACGCCACUAUAAUAAUACAAUAAUCCCCGACGGGCGCACCUACGCACGCCGUUCGCGCGUUAUCGUACGUUUCGCGCGGAACGCCACUGCGCGAUUAUACUAAUAUAACACGUGCGACAACAACAACAACAACAACAACAACAACAGCAACAACAAUUGUUGUUAUUCGGUUCGUUUGUUUCGCCGCGGUUCUCUCUCACUCUCUCUCUCUCUCUAUGUUCGAUAAACGUCCGUCCUACUCGUCUUGCGCGCGCCGAUUCCGCGGACAGUAAAAAUAAUGUUGUGGUUCCGGUCGUUUUCCGUUAAUCGUUUAAUCUCGCCGCGUCCCGUAACCGCAACACUACGCAGUCCGGUAAUCCCGUUUAGAUUUCUCGCGGUUUCGCGUUCCGUUCGGUUUCGCGCGCGUUUUGCGCGUUGUUUUUGUUGUUUUUUUUUUUUGUUUUUUUUUUUCUCUCCACAUCCCCCGUGAUCCGCGGGAGAUGUCCGCGCGCGGACCCUUCUCGUUGUUUUCGAUUCAAUACCGACCCCGACGUUAUUGUACAUUUUACGGCGCGACGCGGUUUUCGUCGUGCGGUAAAAUGCAAUAUUAAUAAUAAUAUCGUAAUGCAAUAUUACGCGCGUUAAAUUCCAGUAUUUUUUUUUUUUUUUCUUCGAGCGCGCGCCUCGUCUUUCGACAUUUUCAAAAUUACCGCGCGAAUCGGGAACACACAACACAAUUGUAGGCUAAUUGCGUAUAAAAUGAUUAUUGUCAGUUAUCACGGUGAAUUUAGGGCGGCAAACGUAACAAAAAAACGCACGAAAAAAACCCCCGGCCGCGGUGCUCGACUAUCGUCGACAUAAUAUGAAACGCGAGAAAAAAAAAAUUCGACUGUCCGCCGCGGUUUUAUAAAACACAGUACCUAUGACCGUUCAAUAAAUCCAAAACACCGCGAUAUCGAACCCGGCGCGGUUAUUUGAAAUACAGUGUUAAAUUUUGGCCGGACGAACUCUAAUGGAAUUUUUCCAUUCGUGUCCCGCUCGCCAAAAAAAAAACACAUCGUAUUAUCAUUCUAUCUCUUAGUUGAGGUGCCGCCGGUCGUCCAAUACGGAAUUCGUGCCGUUUUUUUAACCAAGUUUAAAAACAAUAUACAUACGUUUACGAUAUGCCGUUGUGAAAUUCGGAACAAAAAUUAUUCGUUGUUUUUAGUAGUCCCGUGUUUUGAGGUUUUUUUUUUUUUAAAUCUGGCGACCCUAUAGUGUUAGUGUGAUAUGUUGUUUUUUUUUUCAUAUAUAUGCAUAUACGUUUCUGUAGAAAAUAUUCGCCGCGGUGUCGUAAUACACAUACGGGCCGUACGAUUUGAAAACUAUACAUACACACGAACGUAUACCGAUUAUGUUAUUUUAUUGGCCUAUUACGUCAAAAAUAUAAUAAUACGUUUGCGAGUCCGCGACAAUGUGUUUCGAAACAACGGUAUCGGCACUUUUAUUUGAAACAAAUCGAUUUGUAAACGUCGAAAUUGCACGUUCUCAAAUCGUAUUUUCUAUAUAGGUAUACAGUACGACGUAUAUCGGGGUCCCGGGUGUUAGCAGUUAGCCUGUAGGUAUAUCACAGUUCUACAUUUCCACCGUAAAUAUACCGAGUCGACGAUUUUCGCUGCUAUAUAGAAUAUCACGCGCACACUAUGAUGAUAAUAUAAUGUUAGUCGGUCGGCGAAUGCGAAAAACGGCGACGACGGCUGUUCGUUUUCAUCCGGAAAGGGGGAAGAAAAAUAAAGAAAACUCGUAAAAUUCGCCAACUAUUAUUACCGUUACCUGCGGGUAUGAAAAGGUUCUGUAAUCGUGUCUUUUUGAGAAAAACGUCCCCUUUUAAUCGAUCGUUACGAUUUUUUUUUUUUAUAUAUACAAAGAAAAAUUUUCUUUUAUAAAACACAAAUGUUUUUCAAGUGAACGUUAAAAGUUAUUUGAACGAGAAAAAGUUCUAUCUAAUGAUACUAUUCAUUUAUUUUGAAAAUGAAAAGGUUCUAUAUUGACCUUUGUGUGCUGCGAUGAAAUUACUGAUAAAAUAAUACAAACAAAGCGCCACAAAAAGGUUCUACAUAAAAAACAGUAAUUUUAAACAUUUUCCAUUUCUUUACAGUGCGCCGCUUACUUUCAAAAGAUUAUAAGAAAACCUUUUCAAAGUACGAAAUUAUUUUCUUUUAUUUACUUUUAUUAUCUUUAUUGACAUAAAACUAUCGGUUUGAUCUGUUUGUCAUAGAAAAUAUAUAUAUUUAAGUUAAAUAGCAAAACAUAAACGAAACUGUGCCCCUAUGAGAUUUUAAAUUCAAUAAUAGCAUUCGGUAUCAAAAUGUAAAUUCUAAAGUUUUAAACUGCUCUUCUUGGUCGAUUUAAAAAAAAUGACCCAGAACCUUUUCAUUCUCAGGUGAGGCAAUUUCUACGCGUGAGUUUUAUGACGGACCAAAAUGUCGAUCGAUUUUUAGACACUAUAUUACGAAAACCGUCUAUUAGGAUUGCUAUUUUAAUCCACAAAAAAUAAAAACAAAAAUCAUUAGAUAAUUUCACAUACAAUUUUUUUUGAAAAAUAAGUUUAAACAAACACUAAAUUAUAUCUGCUGCAUUAAAUUUUGAUGAUACAAAAUAUUGUUUUCUCUUUGCGGCAACUAAUUUUUAAUAAAAAAAAAAAUUUUAAGUUUCACAAAAAUACUUUAAAAUGUAAAAUUUGUCAAAAACAUAAAUAAUAAUAAUUUCGAAAACUCAGUACAUAUUGUCUUAAACACAAUAGUUCGAUCAUAAUCAAACAUCUACAUCAAAACUACAAUCUUGUUAAACAGCGAUUUUAUCGUAUUUAUUACAUAUUAUAACGUCAUAGUAUCAUACUGCAGAUAAUAUCACACUUUUUUCAGUCAAUACGCCCGCUCGGUAAUCAAAUUAUUAAUACACUUGAAAAAAUCGCCACAGUAUUUUUAAUACAGACGCGUUAAAAACAUUGAACGAGUGCACUCACGCAAACAUAGUCAAUAUCAUAAAAAAUCAUAAUCUCUAUAUUAACUGUAAAAAUUAUGAUGACAUAGGAGACGGCCACCAAUAUGCGUAUUUAUACGGGUACGCUACGCUUAGUAUAAUAUCUAUUGAUUAAAGUAAUAAAUUAUAACACCUAAGAAAAGAAAAGUCAGGUAUUUUAUAAAAAAAAUGCCUGUAUUGUAGAGGGUACAAACUAAUUAUUUUACUGCCAUGGUACAGCACUCUUAAGGGUCCUGCUUAAAAAUCGCUCUCAACACUUUUUUUAAAGUUAACAAUUAAACAAUUCUUAACGACCACCUCAAUUGGUUUCAAUUUUAGUACUAUGGAGUGACGGUGGACGAAUUGAAUUUUCAAACUUGGUUUGGUGACAAGACUGUUUGGUAGGGAUGGACACAUGUUUGAAGUACUUGCUCCUAAAAAACUCUUACAACAUCUAUGUAAACUAAAUCAUAAAAAAUAUAACACACAGAUUUUGGGCUGCACUAUUGUGUACUAUUUGUUGAUGAUAUUUGUACACCUAAUACUCAUAUAUACUACUCGUUACUCAUAGUAUUUAUAUAUUUUUUAUCGAGUACAAUUUAGUUAAUUUUAUAUUCAAAACGAAUUGUUCAGUAGACACCAAACAACAUAUUCACUCGUCAAAUUUGUCUAGAGGCGGGUGCCACGGAAUAAUGCUAUCAUCAGGCCACUGUAAUACUUUCGUGUUUCUAAAACUCCAAAUCUAAAAGCCUUCUUGUUUGUUUUACGCGAACGCAUUUUUGAUACUAUAUCGCUCAUUAGAAAUAAAUAGACAGAAAAAUUUUAAAUAGAAAUUAUACAACAAUUGACAUAUUUGCACAACCGAACGAGCAGUUAUUCACAAUAAUUUUUAAUUAUGGAACUUAUAAUUUGUACGAGCACCUUACAGACGUCACUUGUGUAGGUAUAUCCCGUUUUACAAUAUAAUUGGAGAUUACAUCUAAAUCUGUAUAAUAUUAUAAUGUCAGCUUAGUAUAGCCUCGUGAAAUUGCAGUGAUACUAUCAUCACAUUAUAUUAUAAUCACCGGCUUUGGGGAGAUUAAAUAAUAUGUUAUUUCCGAUUAUAUUUGCGUACAUAUUAUGAAUAUAUUAUGUAUAAGUUUAUUAAGUAUCAUAAAAAAAAAAAAAAACAAACAACGUACAUUAAAUACCUACAAUAAAUUAAACGAUAAUGCUCAAUAAAUAGGCAUCAUAUUUUAUAUUCGUCGACACGAUGAUAUUUAACAUUUAUAAAGUCUUUAAAUAAAUUUGUAGUAGUUUGAUUGUUUUCUUUUAAUAUUUCAUCGCGUUUAUACUAAAAAAUGAAUAAAAAAAUACAAUAUUUUCGACGGUUUUGAAUUAAACUGAAGCGUUUUUCAUUGUUUUUAAUCUCUAUAUCAAAAUCAAAGACCUCUCGAAAAAAUAAAAAAAAUAUACCAGUGGAAUAUAAUUCAAUACGUUUACUCGAUAAAUAAACUAUCACGGUAUAUUUUUUUUCGGUUCAAUAAAAAAAAAAAAAAUGUUUACAAUAAACACAAAAUGUUUCAUCGUGUGAAACGAAUU